This is a long non-coding RNA of Acinonyx jubatus (cheetah), 5769 nucleotides long. RefSeq lists it as uncharacterized. The transcript is spliced from 3 exons. Lineage: Eukaryota; Metazoa; Chordata; Mammalia; Carnivora; Felidae. The record is from RefSeq and is a predicted model, not a curated record.
UCUCAGGCCUCAGCGCACCCUGAAGGUUUUUGUUCUCCCGCUUGAAGGUCUCCAGGUGCUCCAGGGACUCCUCGUAGGCAUUCUUGAGCUUGAAGAGCUCUGUGCUGAGGGAGCGCGCCUCCUUCUGCGAGGACUCCAGCUCUGACUGCGACUCCUCAUACUUCUGCUUCCACUCGGCCAGGAUCUGCGGGGACCUGGCUCACUGCGUGGCCCCCAGCCCCGCCCCAGCCCCGCUCCAGGGCCUGCCCAGGUCCCUGGGCUGGGCUCAGCCUCCUCCCCUGCCCUCAAGGAGGAGGUCCCAGUCUUCACGGUGACGUUGGCCUCCCUGCUCCGCCCCUGGCUGCUCCGCCCCUGGCUGCGGCCUCCAGCUCGGGCCCACCUUGUCGAAAUUCCUCUGCUUCUUGUCCAGGGCUGCGGCGGCUGCAUUGGAGCGCUCCACAUCCACCAUCAGGUCCUCGAUCUCAUUCUGCAGUCGGUGCUUGGUCUUCUCCAGGGAUGAGCACUUGGCGUUGACGGCCUCCACGGCCUCCUCGGCGUCCUGCAGCCGCUGGGCCAGCUUCUUCCUGCCCGGGGCAGUUAGUGUGUGUGUGUGUGUGUGUGUGUGUGAUUCUACCUGGGAACAGUGGGACCUUGGAACCACCUCCUCCCCAGACCAGGUUGACCCAAUCCUCCUCCCCACAAUACCUUGGGACCCUGAACAGCCCUUUAGGCCCUGCGUCCCUAGCCUCGAGCAACCUAAGCCUGCGAGUGCCUAGGACAGAAUGUCUUCCCUACGUGCAGUGACCUCUGGGUGACAACCCCCACCCCUCCCCAUACCAGGCUGAUCGAUGGAAGCUCCUCUGACCAACAAGCUUUUUGCUCGUCUUAUACGUGAGCAUCAGGUAUAACCCGAGCCAAAAGCUCAUGCGUCACAGGAAGUGAGUCAGGGCCAGCCAGGUUCACUCAGAACACAAGAUCCAGGCUCCCUUUCAAUCAUCUCUGUUAGCCCCCAUGCUUCUUCCACCCUCCUCAGAUCUCCUUCCCAUGCCCACUCUGCCUGUCUUGCUCCUUCCUCUCUUAGAAUUGGGUGGGGGACUGCCCUGAACUUACUUGGCCUCUUCGAGCUCUUCAGUCCUCUGGAUGGCAUCUGUCUCGUACUUGGUCCUCCACUGGGCCACCUCUGAGUUGGCCUUGGACAGGACGCGCUGCAACUCAGCCUUGGCCUCUGUCUCCUCCUCGUACUGCUCCCGCAGCAGGUCACAGUCAUGUCGGGCUGACUGCAGUGCAUGGGCCAGGGCGUUCUUUGCCUGGGGAGGGGUGGGCACUGACAGACAGGCUCAUUUCCGAGGAAGGGAGGAGGGAAUGCCCCACCACCAUCAUUCUCUAGAUCCUUUUCAUAUCCAUGGACUUCAAACAAGCCCAGCCUCAAUUAGAGUGAGGGCUGGUGUGGAAUCUCAGCAUCUUGGAGUAGCCUCCCAGUUUGCCCACCCCACCCCCUUACAAAUAAGGAAAGAGGCAUUCGAUGAUGUUGAGGUGUGGCUUAGCUGGAGUGUAGAGGAAGCUAGAUUGGGGCUCUUUCCACCACAGAGGAUUCUCUCCAGUCUCUAGGCCCCUAUUCCUGGUCUUGAUGUUAAUUGUCCAGCACUGCCAUCAAGCCUGUCCCACUGUCCCUAGCUGCGCCUCACCUUGCCCUCCUCCUCCAGCUGCCUCUUGAGGUCCUCCAGCUGCUGGGUGUAGGAGAGCUUGCCUCGGGUCAGCUGGGAUAUCAGUGCCUCCUUCUCAUCCAGCUGCCGAGACAGCUCCCCUGGAGGUGGGAACAAGAGGGAGGAAUUUGUGGGCUACGGAAGGGGGCAACUAGUACCUGACCCUCAGGAAGGCGCAGGGCUGGUGAGGGGCACCCACCGUUUUCAGUCUGCAGCUUAGCUCGCUGGGUGGUGAGGUCAUUGAGGGAGCGUUGGGUCUCUUCCAGCUUUGCACGGUACUCAUUGGCCUGGUCCUCCAGUGUCCGGGACACCUUCUCCAGGUUUGCCUUCAGGCAGUAAGGGACAACUUGUCAUGGAAAGGGACUGGGUGGACCAGAGAAAGGAUGGGAAGGCCAAGGUGGGGAGAGCACAGGGAUCAGGGGGGUGAAAAAGAGAGGUGCUGACAGGAACAGUCUGAAAGGGGUACAUGAACUAAAGGAGAGAUGGUGAAGAGCUGUGGGCAGAAGGAGGGAGGGUGAGGGAGAGAGCAAGACAGAGACCAAGAGGUGAUGAAGGGGUGACGAUGAGAAGACAGGGCAGAGACAGUGGAAGGAAAGCCACCGAGACAGAGAAGGGGGCAAGAAGGGUGAGAGGGCAGCCCACCUUGGCCUUGAUGAUCUGCUCCAUGUUGGAGGUGACAUCAUCCAGCUCCAGCUUGAACUCGCUCUUCUCCUUCUCCAGCUUCUGCUUCACACGCUGCAGGUUGUCGAUCUGCUCGCCCAGCUCGGCCACGCUGUCGGCGUGCUUCUUGCGCAGGGCCGCCGCCGUGGCCUCGUGCUGCAGCGUGGCCUCCUCCAGGUCCCGCCUCAUCUUCUGGAACUCGGCCUCGCGUUUCUUGUUCAUCUCGAUCUGCACGGACGUGGCCCCGCCGGCCUCUUCCAGCCGCUCGCUGAUCUCCUCCAGCUCCCGGGACAGGUCUGAGCGCAGCUUCUCCACCUUGGCCCUGGCGGUGCGCUCAGCCUCCAGCUCCUCCUCCAGCUCCUCGAUGCGAGCCUGGGCCGGGACACAGAAAGCUCAGACCCACCGCCUGCAGACCCCACCCCAGGGCUCUAGAACACGCAGGUCUCUCCAGAGCAAUGGUUCUCAACUAGGGAAAGUUUUGUGCCAUGGGGGAUAGUUGGCAAUGUGUGUAGACAUUUUUGCUUGUCAUGACUUGCCAUCUAGUGGGUAGAGGCCAGGGGUGCUGCUAGACAUUCUGUGAUGCACAGACCAUCAAUAUCAAUUUGGUUGAAGCUGAAUCCUCAAAGCACUUCCUAGAGACAUUUAGACUCAGUCUGAGAAUCUGCAGCCCUGAAUCCAGAGAAUCUGUGUUCAGAUGGGGAUUUGGAGCUCCUGUGAGAUCCUGAAUCUCAAAGAUUCCACAGAUUCACUAGACUCUGCUCUGCUAAACAUAAGGCAGGAAAGCUGGUGCUUGUAUCUUACAAACAGUUGCAAUAAUAUGCCUGAAAACAAUCAAAAUGUUUAUAAUCCGGGCUCCCGGGUGGCUCAGUCAGUUGAGCAUCUGACCUCAGCUCAGGUCAUGAUCUCACGGUUCGUGAGUUAAAGCCCCACAUCGGACUCUGGGCUGACAGCUCUGGAGCCUGGAGCCUGCUUCCGAUUCUGUGUUUCCCUCUCUCUCUGCCUUUCUCCCACUUACGCUCUUUCUCUCUCUCUCUCUCUCUCUCUCUCUCUCUCAAAAAUAAACAUUAAAAAAAAUUUUUUUAAUGCUUGUAAUCUUCCAGGUUCACCACGAAGUCCAGUCAACCAUACUCCUCACUCUCCAGGGGUUGCCUUAUUUAUGUCUAGGGUGGGUUCUACUUUUGUUGUUCCCUUCCAGGCCAGGUGAGUGCUAGAAAGUUGGCCUUUUCAUCAUCAUGCCCCUACCUCAUUUUUCUGGCCUUUUCCUUGGCCUUGACUAAAUUGGGAGAAUGUCCCAUCUUUCAUUUUGAUCUGUUCCCUGACCAGCCAGGAGCAAAAGGGAGUAUCAAUCAGUGGAAUCCCUGAAUCUGUGGUUGAGGACAGUGUUAAUGGAAUGUGUGUGGGUGGGCCCUGGGAGCAGGAGAGAGAGGGCCACCAUGCCUCUGCUCUCAAGAUGAGGAAGGUAGGACUAUGUGCAAGAGCUUGGGCAGGAAGAAGGAGGGCCUCAGCCUACGGCCAAGACCUGGUGAGGAUAAUAGCACUGUUGUUCUGGGUCUAAGGGCCAAAGAGUUUGCCUAGACCCAAAUAGAAGAACCUGGAGAAUGUCCUAAUAUUCUGACUAUAACUGAGAGGGGCACCCAAGAAAAUGGAAGGGUAAAUUAUCACUGAAGGCAGGCUAGCCCCUGAGCAGCUCCCCAAAUGAGUGGAAUUGUGUUCAUGAAUCACUUGUAGCCUGGACCAUGGGCCCCGAAUGCUGAAGAGAGAUCAAUGCUCUCCAAUAGCCACAGUGUGACCAGAAAAUCAGAGGAUAAGGCCUUGCCUGUAAUAGUUGAGUACCUGCUGUCUUUGUGGCCACUAUGUCCAGACCUGGCCAUGCAGCUUCUGUAGCUAUAAAAUGGGAUCUCAGUACCUGUCUGCCUUGCUUCCAGGGCUCUUCUGACAAACACAGGGCUCUUCUGACUAAAAGCACGUUAAAAUUCAGGGUGCACUAAAAGUAAGGGUGGCUAUGGCUGUUAAUUUAAUCUCCUCCUGAAGAGGGAUGAGAAGGCCAUGGAGAAAAUAAAAGAACACCUUCUAGCUAGUGGCAGGCUGACUGCUAGCUGUCUAAGUGGUUUUAUAAACAUUAUCUCCUCUGGCCUUCUGUAAGGCGGGUGCUAUCAUCUCAUUUCACAGGUGAGAAGAGAAUCUGAGACUCAGCAAGGGGAAGUGAAUUGCUCAGGGUUGUAGGAGUUGACUGAAUACCAUAGGGUCAGUACCUGGGAAGAGUAUGAUCAGAGCACUCCAUAGGAAGGUGCUCCAUGAAGGCCCUCCUCACCUCCAUGUAGAGGGGAAAACGUACCAGAAGAAGAGCAAGAGGAGACUUGAACCCUGUCAUUUGUGCUGGAGGAAAAAAACCCAUGAGACAGGGCACAGCUCAUCAAGAGAGCCCUUUUAGUAGACUUGUUUGCCUCCCAAAAUAGCCCUGCUGAAAUAAGACUCAUUGCUCUAAUGGGGGAAGGCUGGUGUUCCCAAGUGCCAAGUCAGGGGGCAUGGUGUCUCCAAGGCCGCCUGGAGUUGUAGAUGCUGUCUGGAACCCUACAGAGCUCUUGCAGCCUCAGCUGCCUCACCACUGAGCUCCCCAUUUGGCUGCACCAGGAAGAACUUCACCUGGUUUUCCUUCAGUUUCUUCUGCAGCUGAAGGGCCAGUGCCUGCUCAUCCUCAAUCUUACUGUUCUGCUGAUUAAUGUCAAACUCCUUCCUGGAAGAGAAGGGAGGGGUGACAGGUGGUCUUCCGUCCUCUGUGCCCAUUCUCUUCUCUUGCCUGGCAUGCUAGGACAAGUCCCCUCCCCACUGGUGCAGAGGGUGAAUGAGGGAGGGCUGUUUGACUUCCUCAUUCACACUGUGCCCGGGACAGUCAUGGCCAGUGGGGUUGUGGCAUCCUGUGCUCUAACCCUCAGGCCAGACAUCUCCAUUUGCCCCUCUGGGACACCCCAGGCUCCUACUUCUUGAGUUUUUCUUCAAGCUGCUGCUUGUCAUUCUCCAGGUCCAUGAUGCUUUCCUGGGUCAGCUUCAGGUCACCCUCCAGCUUCCGCUUUGCUCGCUCCAGGUCCAUACGAACCUUCUUCUCCUGCUCCAGGGAUCCCUCCAGCUGGUGGAGAGAAGAAAAUAAACAAGGAGUUUCUGCGGGAAUGCACUUAGAAGUGGAAUUGGAAGCUCCAGGGCACCCUGUAUGCACCUCUGCCGGAAAUCUCCAUAGAGGAUGCGGUUGGGGAAGCCCUUCCUGCAGAUGCGGAUGCCCUCCAGCACACCAUUACAGCGCAGCUGGUGCAUGACCAGGGGGUUGUCCAUCACCCCUGCAGCAGGAAAAGAGGAGAAAGGGUCAACCUCAAGGCAAGUGGAUACCAAGUACCCUCUCUAGAUUAGACCCUUACACAUUGCUCACCCGGAGCCU